Molecule: long non-coding RNA, 368 nt
Organism: Astatotilapia calliptera (eastern happy)
Lineage: Eukaryota; Metazoa; Chordata; Actinopteri; Cichliformes; Cichlidae
Source: Ensembl
GGAAGGUGACUGGAGCCCAGAGAUGGUCAAAGUGGCUGCAGAGAGGGGCAGGAGGGGAGUUUAUGGCAAGAUUUUACUCACAGUCUCUGGAGAGACUUGUGACCAGCCACAGGACAACUCCAGCAUCUUCAGCAGUACCCCUUUGGUUCAAAGGAAAUGCUUGUUCCCCGAAGGGCACGAUGUGACCGAUCAUUCCACCACAUUACACACCCAAGAUGCUGAAAGUGAAACGGUGACUUCUGAGACCUCACACCUGAGCGACAGGAGCGACAGCGUGUGCUUUGCUGAGGUCCAAGUCAAUAAAGUCGACACCAGUGACUCCGCUGUGGGGAAUAAACCUCCAGUGUGGCCUACAGUGAGUGUUAUCC